RNAcentral lists this ribosomal RNA (426 nucleotides) under uncultured bacterium. Its description in RNAcentral is "partial 16S ribosomal RNA". It matches the Rfam family "Bacterial small subunit ribosomal RNA", at positions 354 to 796 of the family's 1533-position model. The record is from RNAcentral.
GUGGGGAAUAUUGCGCAAUGGGGGAAACCCUGACGCAGCAACGCCGCGUGAGUGAUGAAGGCUUUCGAGUCGUAAAACUCUGUCUUUGGGGACGAAUAAUGACGGUACCCAAGGAGGAAGCCCCGGCUAACUACGUGCCAGCAGCCGCGGUAAUACGUAGGGUGCAAAAGUUGUCCGGAAUUACUGGGUGUAAAGGGUGCACAGGCGGUUUUGGUCGUCAGAGGUUAAAUGCCACGGCUCAACUGUGAACCUGCCUUUGAUACGGCAAGACUUGAGUGGAAGAGAGGAUGAUAGAACUCCUGGUGUAGCGGUGAAAUGCGUAGAUAUCAGGAAGAAUACCAUUUGCGAAGGCGGUCAUCCGGCUUUCAACUGACGCUUAAGCACGAAAGCGUGGGUAGCGAACAGGAUUAGAAACCCUGGUAGUCC